This 5699-nucleotide long non-coding RNA is filed under the name Triticum aestivum (bread wheat). Its description in RNAcentral is "long non-coding RNA (TAES_LNC024472)". Lineage: Eukaryota; Viridiplantae; Streptophyta; Magnoliopsida; Poales; Poaceae. The record is from RNAcentral.
CACAGGCAUAUGUCACCCUGUCGUCCAUGGCGUGCCGGCAGUCCGGCUGGCUGGGGAUGGCCCAGUCCAGCCGAGCCGGAGGAACCAUGUCGAGGUGAAUGUCACGGUCCAGAUCGCUGGGUCGGAACGUGUACCUGUCCUGGCCGGUGACGAAGAAGGUCAGUUUGUCCCGGCUGACACCGUCGCCGGUGCGCGACAAGUUGAGGGUGAACGCCCGGAGGUGCACGCCUACGUCGAUGCGGCAGCAGCCCACGCCGACGCAGAGCCCGUUCGGCAGCCUCCGCAUGACCUCCUCCCCGGCGCAGGCCACGGAGCAGUUCCCCACCGCGGCUCCACGGUCGAGCAGCGUGGCCGUGACGCCGCAGCCGAGGACGAACAGCGACGCAUGUUGGACGCGCCGGAGAUGGCGAACGGCCUGCCGGGGCCGUCCCACGAGGCCGAGGCGGAGACCGUCCCGGCGCCGGCGCGGGUCUCAUGCGCACCGUGCGCACGAUGUUGACGGCGAGCGAGGAAAUGAAGCCGCUCGCCAAGAUCGUGUAGUCCACCGUGACGCUGGGGCUGCCGAGCAGGAGGCGCUUACUGUACGUGUUGGCGUCGCAGGUGAGGUUGAACCCCGGCAGCGAGCACCCGGGGCCUACGCCGAACGGGUAGGAGAAGUCGAUCAGGCCGCAGCUCCGCCGUGGCUGGUGCGGCCAGAAGCGUCAUCAGCAGCGGCAGGAGAGUGAUAGCCGCCAUGGUCAGGACCAUCUUGUGCUGCUAGUACUCCCUCCGUCUCGAAAAACAUGUCGCGAGGGCAGUUUUGCAAAAAAGCCCUCCAGUUUCUCCCGACCGAACCCGCGCUCCUCGUCUUGCUCCUCCGACAGAAUCCCCAGCUCCGCCGCUCCCCGCCGCCGUAGCUUCGCUCCUCCACGCCGCCGCAGCUGCCCUGUCCCCGCCGCCGCAGCUCCCCCGCUCCCCGCUCCCUUGCUGCAGCUGCCUCCUGCUCCACCGCCGCAGCUGCCACUCGCCUGCCUCCCCAAGCUCCCCCUUCGUCAUAAAAAUGUUCGAUUUCCCCAUCUACCGCCGCGCUCUGCUCCGGCUGUGUCAGAACCGGCGUCGGCGAGCCCGGAGGCGCUUGAUCCGGACCACCACCAACAACCUCAUGUCUUGGGGUCGAGCAUGGUGGCGGCGGAGCAAGGAUGGAGUCCGGCAAGGGCGAUGCAGACCGACCACGGGGCUCGCUGGAGAAGGAGUUGAGGGAUGGCAGCGGCAGCAAGGCCAUGGAGGCAGGGUCGACGGAGUGGCGGACGGCAGAGCAGGGCCUUGGCGGAUUGGCUGUAGGCGGGCGCUCGAUGCGUCGUUCCCGCGCAAUAGAAGCAGGGGAGGCCGGCGGGGUCUUGGAUGGCGACGCGGGACCUGACGGCAGCUUGGCGCGGGCGCCGGGGCCGCCGGAGUUGGCCCCUCCGGUGGUAGCACGGGGAGGCACGGCGCGGAAGGGAGGAGGGCGGCGCUCGAGGUCGCCGACAUCCGGCAAGGCCGCAGCGAGGGAGCCGAACGGAGGCGGGCGACGGGAGGCUGCAGGGGCGACGCGCUCGGGCAGAGGGAGAGUGGGGAUCGGGAACGAGGGGGAUGGAGCUCGCGGGCGCCAUUGACACCCAGUGCAUUGGGAUGGAUGCAGGAGAGGUGCGUGUGUGCUUGCUUGCUGACCACCAUGGUUCUGUCUCUGUUCCCUUGUGCUCUGUCUCUUUUCUUUGUCCUGUAAGUGCUGGUGUUGCUUCUUCAGAUAAGUGGCAUGGAAGAAGCCCUGGAAUGAUGAUUCUCACCAUGGUUCUUCAGAUAAGUGCUGGUGUUGCUUCUUCAGAUAAGAGGUGCUCAAUGAUCUCACCAUGGUUCUCGGCUCCAUAGCACAGGUAUCAAUUGCCAUCUUCAUCCGUGGAAUGAUGAUUUAUCUAUCAUGUGCUCUUGGUCUGUUGCAGUUUGUAACUGAUGUGUAUUGUUUCUUCAGUUAAGUGGCAUGGGUCAUCGAGAUUGCUAAAGAUUACAGAAAUCUUCAGUUUUUUUUAUCAUAAGAAAGCUUGAUAAUAGUUCAAUGAAUUUUGUUGUCCUAUUUUGCUUGCAAGAAGAACAUUUUGCUUGCAAGAAGAACCCUAGCCCAAAACCCCAAAAGUAAAGAUGCUCUCAAGAAAUUCAAAUAAAAUCCAAAUUAAUUCUGUUCAUUUUCUGGUUGGAAUAUUUGGACUAGUUCUGCUAGUUUAGAGUUUGGAGUAUUUGCACAGUUAACCGAACAAUUUUGCACAGAUAACUGAACAGUUUUGCAAGCAUUCGAUCUCUGAACAAUUUUGUUUUCUGUAAGAUUUAUACUGUCUCUAAAUUCAGUCAUGAACUAUGAACUCUGAAAUUAGUACGGUUCCAAUAGCAUUUUAAAUAUUCAAGUUAGGACUGCACUUUUAAAGUUCAAGAUACUCCUGUAAAUUAAACCUCAACUUGCGGAGUUGCUGUUUUCAGUUAACUGAAAUUAUAGUGACUACUCCUACUUUUUCCUUCUCCUUUGUUCUGAAACUUCAGCUAUCAUAUCUACAGUACCUAGCUACUGUCAGAACAGAACAAGGAGAUAUCAUCAUCAGUAGAUAUCUACAGUUUUAUUACUGGAGCCACCAUACAAACCAUGCAAACCUCAUAUUCCAAUAAAUUCCAACGAGGAGUUUAUAUACAAGGAUUAGACAAGGCAUACACAAGGGCAUGACAUAAGGGCAUCUUUGUCCCCUCUUGACACAAGAUUACACAAGACAUACACAAGGAGCGCCUGACUACAUGACAUAAGGGCCUCUUUGCCCCCUCUUGACUACAUUCUUUCUCUGGCCACUUCUUCCCUUCCCUUCCCUUUACUUUUCUUUCUUUUCCCUUCUCUAGCUAAUUCUUUCCUUUCAUUUUCUUUUCCUAUUGCAAUUUCCAUUUCUUCUAUAAGGGCCCUAGUAUCAACAACUACCCGACUGUCGCAAUAUACACCGGUUAUUUCCAUUCCAGCAUUCUGAACGCGAUCCUUGUGCAGGUGGGGCAACUUAUAUUGAUUUCCUCCUUUGUCUUUCAUAACUUCAAACAUAACUGCUUCUAAUGUGAUAAAGCUUCUGUGCAACUUGUUGGGAUCGUAGUUCUCGAAUUCCUCUUCCACACCCUGUACCAGUUCCUGGAUGUUUGUAGGUGACCUGCAGUCGGUUAGAGACUGGAGAGAGUUAUGGAAGCAGAGGUCCAAACAAUUUAACUCAGGGCUAUUUGGGGGCUGUUGUAGCAAUCGGAUGUCAAGAUCAGUUUGUUCCACAGCUUCUCGAAAAGCUACAUCAUUGGGAAGGACAUGAGGCUUUGCGUUAUCCUGUUGGAUGAAUAUUGUUGCUCCCUCAUCAUCGUCAGGCCACUUAUCCUGAAUUGCCGGGAUAACCUUAUUGAUUAGAUAAUCUCUGCACACAGGCCUGGUUACUUUCACUGAUGUCAACACUUUUGUUCCCUUUGUUCUGUUCUGACUUGUCCGCUUCGCCUCAGUCUCUUCGACGAAUGCCCAAAUGCCGAUCUUCCCAUCGAAUGUUAGCUCCCCCUCAUUGUUAUAUCGAGGCCUGGCAACAGCUGUUAGGAACAUUACCUUCCCAAUGUUGUGAGUGUUUGACACGGUGCGCUUCGGUUCAGGUUCUCCUGGAAGUACAUAGUAACUAUUCUUCACUCUCGUCAUGUCGAACCACUUCUCAUCGAUGUGAACCAUAUUCGUCAUUGGUUUUAACAUAGCCCGAGAAGUUGAGAUCGAAUUGUCAUCGACCAUGGACAUACAAAAUUUCAAUCUCGCAAGCUUGUUCUCUAGCUUGAGGUGAGGCUUCACGGUGCUUGUGAUGCGGUUGAGCUCAUUCAACUGGAACCUCUUAUGUAGGGUCGAUCGGGCCACACCUAGAGACCGUGCCAGAGAUCGAAUUGUUCUUCUUUUAUUCAGUGGGAUUGUUGAGGUCCUCUCUAGAUCCAGCUCCUUUCUCUUUCGGCCUGAUCUUCCUAGCUUCUUGCUUGAGACAUCUACUUCUUUGCCAUCGGCAAUUUGCUUUUUAGCCUCUUCCCAGAUUCUUUCAACAGAUCGUACACUUAUGUCCAACAGGUUUGAGACUAGCAGCUUGUCGUCUGGUUGAACAGACCCAUCUUUGAGCUCGAUUACCAGCAAGGCAAAGUAAACACCAUGCCUCUCCUUAUCUGACAAUUCUCUUCUCUUCUCUUGAAGUAUCCAAUUCAUAACUUCAUCCUCUUCAUCUUGAGCUUCAUCCUCUUUCCCUUCAUCUUCUUGAGGCAUCCAAUUCAUAUCUUCAUCGUCUUCCUCUUGAGGCAUCAAGUUCAAAUCCAUAGCCACAUUCUCUGCCACUUGAGGUUCCUCCUUUUCAGGGAUCCAAUUCAAAUUAAUACCUUCAUCGUCUUCCUCUUGAGGCAUCAAGUUCAAAUCAAUGGUUUCAUGUUCUUCCUCUUGAGGCAUCAAGUUCAAAUUCAUAUUUAUGUGUUCCUGCCAUCAAUGACAAAAGAUGAGUACACCAUGGUACCAUAACAAGAAUAUACACACACAAAAUGAGUAUGCAAGUCAAACAAGAAAUAGGUGCCAUGGCACCAUUUCUAGUUUGGUUGCCACGGUACCCAAACAAGAAAUGGUGCCAUGGGACCAUUUCUACAAACUGUAAUCAUCUUCAGCCUACUCCUUCAGUACAAACACCUGACUGACUCUUCAGAUUGUGAUUCGAUUUUCGCAAUUGAUAAUCACCAUAGUCAGCAAGCAAUUCAGCAUCAUUUGGGUUCCAUCGGCAAGUGGGGAUAUACUGUAUGUUGUUACUCAGAAAAUCAAUUUUUUUUGGAGAUUGACCAUCCUAUAUGGAAAACAGCUUGACUAGUUACAAGCCCUUGUGCGGGUGUCCAUGUUCUGCCAAAAGUCUCCAGCUCCUCUUGAUUUCCUCCUAGAUUUUGAUUUCUGAAGUCAAACUAAAGCAACAAUCUGUCUGCAACCAACCAACAAGCAAAAGAAAGAGAGAUGACUCUGUUUUAACACUGCUGAAGUUUUAAGGCUGAUCUUAGGAAGAAUGUCUUAAGUUAAAAGAUCUGUACCUACAGUUUAACUGAAUCUCUCUAACCCACUACAGUACAGAAUUACCUCACCGUAGCAUGCCUGAUGUUCACCCAACAUCAUGUGCUGAUGGAUGUUGGGUGAUGCUACUGAUUCAGUUAACAGUAAAUCAAUUUGACAAAUUUUCAGGUAGCAAUUUUACUCUGAUGGAAUACCUUCUCUGAUGAUAUUGUCUCUGAAUUUUCAGGUAGCAAUUCUUCAGAUUGCAACUAGCAGCAGCAACAACAACACGGGCAGAGGAUCAGCAGCAUCAACACGGCCAGAGGAGCAGCAGCAGCAGCACGGUCAGUUGGAUCAGCAACACGGUCACGGGCAGAGGAGCAGCAGCAUCAACACGGGCAGAGCAGCAGCAGCAGCAGCAGCUCCACCGGCGACAGGGGAGAAGCAGAGGAGAAACAGCCGUGCGGGCACGCGGGCAGAGGAGAAGGAGGAGCACGGCGGCGCAUGGGAGCUCGAAGAGGACUCGCGGGAGAUAGAGGAGGACGCGCGCGAGCUCCUAUCCACCGGAUCGUGGAGGCUGGUUCCGGCGAUGCCCGUAGGGGAUCACGGCGGGAGGGAUCGCGGUGGCGCACGGGAGGCAGCUCAAGGUGGA